Molecule: ribosomal RNA, 261 nt
Filed under: uncultured bacterium
Lineage: Bacteria
Description: partial 16S ribosomal RNA
Rfam family: Bacterial small subunit ribosomal RNA
Source: RNAcentral
CCGGCGCACGGGUGAGCAACACGUAUGCAACCUGGCCGCCACAGGGGGAUAACCCGCGGAAACGCGGCCUAAUACCCCGUGACGCCACCGGAGGGCAUCCUCCGGUGGCCAAAGGAGCGAUCCGGUGGCGGAUGGGCAUGCGGCGCAUUAGCUAGACGGCGGGGUGACGGCCCACCGUGGCGACGAUGCGUAGGGGUUCUGAGAGGAAGGCCCCCCACACUGGGACUGAGACACGGCCCAGACUCCUACGGGAGGCAGCAG